UUCACAAGGUUUCCUCAAGAUC
This 22-nucleotide microRNA is filed under the name Pristionchus pacificus. RNAcentral describes it as "ppc-miR-2241c". Lineage: Eukaryota; Metazoa; Nematoda; Chromadorea; Rhabditida; Neodiplogasteridae. The record is from miRBase by way of RNAcentral.